This 483-nucleotide ribosomal RNA is filed under the name uncultured bacterium. Its description in RNAcentral is "partial 16S ribosomal RNA". It matches the Rfam family "Bacterial small subunit ribosomal RNA", at positions 29 to 507 of the family's 1533-position model. The record is from RNAcentral.
AUUGAACGCUGGCGGCAUGCUUUACACAUGCAAGUCGAACGGCAGCGCGGGCUUCGGCCUGGCGGCGAGUGGCGAACGGGUGAGUAAUACAUCGGAACGUGCCCAGUAGUGGGGGAUAGCUCGGCGAAAGCCGGAUUAAUACCGCAUACGACCUGAGGGUGAAAGCGGGGGAUCUUCGGACCUCGCGCUAUUGGAGCGGCCGAUGGCAGAUUAGCUAGUUGGUGGGUAAAGGCCUACCAAGGCGACGAUCUGUAGCUGGUCUGAGAGGACGACCAGCCACACUGGGACUGAGACACGGCCCAGACUCCUACGGGAGGCAGCAGUGGGGAAUUUUGGACAAUGGGCGAAAGCCUGAUCCAGCAAUGCCGCGUGUGUGAUGAAGGCCUUCGGGUUGUAAAGCACUUUUGGCGGGAACGAAAAGGACUGUGCCAAUACCACGGUUCGAUGACGGUACCCGCAGAAUAAGCACCGGCUAACUACGUG